This 130-nucleotide transfer RNA is filed under the name Pseudogymnoascus sp. VKM F-4518 (FW-2643). It matches the Rfam family "tRNA". From Rfam's summary of the family: Transfer RNA (tRNA) molecules are approximately 80 nucleotides in length. Their secondary structure includes four short double-helical elements and three loops (D, anti-codon, and T loops). Further hydrogen bonds mediate the characteristic L-shaped molecular structure. tRNAs have two regions of fundamental functional importance: the anti-codon, which is responsible for specific mRNA codon recognition, and the 3' end, to which the tRNAs corresponding amino acid is attached (by aminoacyl-tRNA synthetases). tRNAs cope with the degeneracy of the genetic code in two manners: having more than one tRNA (with a specific anti-codon) for a particular amino acid; and 'wobble' base-pairing, i.e. permitting non-standard base-pairing at the 3rd anti-codon position. The record is from Rfam by way of RNAcentral. Lineage: Eukaryota; Fungi; Ascomycota; Leotiomycetes; Thelebolales; Thelebolaceae.
GGUUGUAUAGUGUAGUUGGUUAUCACAUCGGAUUCUGAUCAUGCGAUUCAUUCGCUCACAUCGGAUUCUGAUCAUGCGAUUCAAUUCGCCAAUCAUUCCGGGGACCUGAGUUCGAAUCUCGGUACGACCU